AAUAAUUUAGUCUAGCGUAUUUAUCAAAAAAUUAUGUUAUAUUAGUUGAACUUUAUAAUUUGUAGUUAUUUUAUGCUAUUUUAUGUUAAUGAAUAAAAAAAAUAAAAUCGGGGGCGCUGCCCCCGAACCCCCGUCAAUGUUAAGCCCACCCACCCAUGUAAUUUAGUGUAGCUUAUAUUAGCUUAAAUUUAUAAAUUUGUAGUUAUUUUGUGCUAUAUAUUUAUGUGAAUGAAUCAAAACAAAAAUCGAGGGUGCUGGCCCCCGAACCCCCGUUAAUGUUAAGCCCACCCUGUCUUGAAGUUCUGGCUCCGCCACUG
RNAcentral lists this long non-coding RNA (317 nucleotides) under Erythranthe guttata (spotted monkey flower). Its description in RNAcentral is "long non-coding RNA (EGUT_LNC001368)". Lineage: Eukaryota; Viridiplantae; Streptophyta; Magnoliopsida; Lamiales; Phrymaceae. The record is from RNAcentral.